UACGAAGGGUGCAAGCGUUAAUCGGAAUUACUGGGCGUAAAGCGCGCGUAGGUGGUUCAGUAAGUUGGAAGUGAAAUCCCCGGGCUCAACCUGGGAACUGCUUUCAAAACUGCUGAGCUAUAGUACGGUAGAGGGUGGUGGAAUUUCCUGUGUAGCGGUGAAAUGCGUAGAUAUAGGAAGGAACACCAGUGGCGAAGGCGACCACCUGGACUGAUACUGACACUGAGGUGCGAAAGCGUGGGGAGCAAACAGG
Molecule: ribosomal RNA, 253 nt
Filed under: uncultured bacterium
Lineage: Bacteria
Description: partial 16S ribosomal RNA
Rfam family: Bacterial small subunit ribosomal RNA
Source: RNAcentral